UGCAGAAUCCCGUGAACCAUCGAGUCUUUGAACGCAAGUUGCGCCCGAUGCCACUAGGUUGAGGGCACGUCUGCCUGGGCGUCACAUAUCGAAGCCUCUUGCCAAUUUCCUAUUAAUAGGUAUUUUGCAGGAUGAUGUUGGCCUCCCGUGAGCUCCAUUGUCUCAUGGUUGGUUGAAAAUUGAGACCUUGGUAGGGUGUGUGCCAUGAUAGAUGGUGGAUGUGUUACGCAUGAGACCAAAUAAUCAUGUGCUGCUCUAUCGAAUUUAGCCUCUUUAACCCACAUGCGUUUCUAAACGCUCGUGAUGAGACCUCAGGUCAGGCGGGGCUACCCGCUGAAUUUAAGCAUAUCAAUAAGCGGAGGAAAAGAAACUAACAAGGAUUCCCUUAGUAACGGCGAGCGAACCGGGAAAAGCCCACCAUGAGAAUCGAUCGCCCUCGGCGUUCGA
Molecule: ribosomal RNA, 447 nt
Filed under: Trifolium scabrum
Lineage: Eukaryota; Viridiplantae; Streptophyta; Magnoliopsida; Fabales; Fabaceae
Description: eukaryotic LSU rRNA
Rfam family: Eukaryotic large subunit ribosomal RNA (bases 307-447)
Source: RNAcentral